RNAcentral lists this ribosomal RNA (466 nucleotides) under uncultured bacterium. RNAcentral's name for it is "bacterial SSU rRNA". It matches the Rfam family "Bacterial small subunit ribosomal RNA", at positions 29 to 506 of the family's 1533-position model. The record is from RNAcentral.
ACGAACGCUGGCGGCGUGCUUAACACAUGCAAGUCGAACGAUGAUGCCCAGCUUGCUGGGCGGAUUAGUGGCGAACGGGUGAGUAAUACGUGAGUAACCUGCCCUUGACUCUGGGAUAAGCCUGGGAAACUGGGUCUAAUACUGGAUACUACCUCUUACCGCAUGGUGGGUGGUGGAAAGGGUUUUACUGGUUUUGGAUGGGCUCACGGCCUAUCAGCUUGUUGGUGGGGUAAUGGCUCACCAAGGCGACGACGGGUAGCCGGCCUGAGAGGGUGACCGGCCACACUGGGACUGAGACACGGCCCAGACUCCUACGGGAGGCAGCAGUGGGGAAUAUUGCACAAUGGGCGGAAGCCUGAUGCAGCGACGCCGCGUGAGGGAUGACGGCCUUCGGGUUGUAAACCUCUUUCAGUAGGGAAGAAGCGAGAGUGACGGUACCUGCAGAAGAAGCGCCGGCUAACUACGU